Molecule: ribosomal RNA, 362 nt
Filed under: uncultured bacterium
Lineage: Bacteria
Description: bacterial SSU rRNA
Rfam family: Bacterial small subunit ribosomal RNA
Source: RNAcentral
AGAGUUUGAUCAUGGCUCAGGAUGAACGCUAGCUACAGGCUUAACACAUGCAAGUCGAGGGGGAAACGACAUCGAAAAGCUUGCUUUUGAUGGGCGUCGACCGGCGCACGGGUGAGUAACGCGUAUCCAACCUGCCCACCACUUGGGGGAUAACCUUGCGAAAGUAAGACUAAUACCCCAAUGAUAUCUCUAGAAGACAUCUGAAAGAGAUUAAAGAUUUAUCGGUGAUGGAUGGGGAUGCGUCUGAUUAGCUUGUUGGCGGGGUAACGGCCCACCAAGGCGACGAUCAGUAGGGGGUUCUGAGAGGAACGGUCCCCCACAUUGGAACUGAGACACGGUCCAAACUCCUACGGGAGGCAGCA